UACGUAGGUGGCAAGCGUUAUCCGGAUUUACUGGGUGUAAAGGGCGUGUAGGCGGGCUAGCAAGUCAGGUGUGAAAUUCCAGGGCUCAACCCUGGAACUGCACUUGAAACUGUUGGUCUUGAGUGAUGGAGAGGCAGGCGGAAUUCCGUGUGUAGCGGUGAAAUGCGUAGAUAUACGGAGGAACACCAGUGGCGAAGGCGGCCUGCUGGACAUUAACUGACGCUGAGGCGAGAAAGCGUGGGGAGCAAGCAGG
Molecule: ribosomal RNA, 253 nt
Filed under: uncultured bacterium
Lineage: Bacteria
Description: partial 16S ribosomal RNA
Rfam family: Bacterial small subunit ribosomal RNA
Source: RNAcentral